Long non-coding RNA from Pelmatolapia mariae (spotted tilapia), 370 nucleotides. RefSeq lists it as uncharacterized. The transcript is spliced from 3 exons. The record is from RefSeq and is a predicted model, not a curated record. Lineage: Eukaryota; Metazoa; Chordata; Actinopteri; Cichliformes; Cichlidae.
CUUUGAGUUGUCAAAGAAAGGUGAAGAGCGCAGCUGCAAAAUGUCAAAGGAGCUCAGAUGUCGGCUCAUCCGAAACACCAUGACUAGUAUGAUUGCAAUCCUGAGGGCAAAAGGGGAUGGAGAGUCGCAUAGAUACCCAUCAAAACCAGAAAUCACAGCAAUGGCAAAGAGAAUAGUGCAGUACUACCCUAUGCUACAGGACCAAGGCAUCAAGAAUACAUGGGUUACCGUGUACACACAGCUAAACAAAAGACUGCAAAAUGUGAGAUCCCCCCAAAAAGCCACUCCAGAUGGGAGACAUUCAAAGAGCUCUGCCAAGAGGCGACGUCUUGAUCAGCCAAGUGACGUAGAAGAAAUGGAUUCAAGUGAC